GUGCCAGCAGCCGCGGUAAUACGUAGGUGGCAAGCGUUGUCCGGAUUUAUUGGGUUUAAAGGGUGCGUAGGCGGUUUUAUAAGUCAGUGCUGAAAUAUCCCGGCUUAACCGGGAGGGUGGCAUUGAUACUGUAAGACUUGAGUCGAGUUGAGGUUGGCGGAAUUGACGGUGUAGCGGUGAAAUGCUUAGAUAUCGUCAAGAACACCGAUAGUGAAGACAGCUAACUAAGCUCAAACUGACGCUGAGGCACGAAAGUGUGGGGAUCAAACAGGAUUAGAUACCCUGGUAGUCC
This 292-nucleotide ribosomal RNA is filed under the name uncultured bacterium. Its description in RNAcentral is "partial 16S ribosomal RNA". It matches the Rfam family "Bacterial small subunit ribosomal RNA", at positions 505 to 796 of the family's 1533-position model. The record is from RNAcentral.